GGAGGGGGAAAUGCAUAACGUGGAGGGAGAGUCCUGUCCUGUCAGCAAAGGGGAAACGCUGUCCUUCCUUGGUCUUAUAUUGAUGGUUAUCAGUGACAUAGUUACUACUACAAUCAUUUCAUAAAGGCCAUUGACACGCUCAAACCUCAAUUUGGACCAGCCACGUUUCAAGCACUCAAUAGCCGCAUGUGCCUAGCGGAUACCACGUUGGACGGCACAGCUCUAGUAAAACAUCUACCCCUCUAACUCCAUCACCACAACUGCUUCCUGGAGAAUCCAACCCGUGGCCCUCCCCUUCGUCCUCCACCCCACCAGCGUGGGAGGAAUUUGGAAAUCAAAGUCAAGCACGUUAAGAAAGAGCCAAGCCACAGCUGGACAGAGGAAAACCCAUCUACACCCAAGUAGGGUCUGGGUCGGCAGGUUUUGCAAGCCCACAAAGAAGCUGGGGACGAGGCUGUUUAUCUUGUGGGAUGACCAACAUGCCCCCAAACUGGCGCUAUAAAGAGAUCUUAGCCUGCAAAAUCUCGACCAACAGUGUGUGAUGCUGUGCUGCUUGAGGAUGCUUCCUG
RNAcentral lists this long non-coding RNA (569 nucleotides) under Equus asinus (donkey). RNAcentral describes it as "lncRNA (ENSEASG00005027644.1)". Lineage: Eukaryota; Metazoa; Chordata; Mammalia; Perissodactyla; Equidae. The record is from RNAcentral.